UACGGAGGGUGCAAGCGUUGUCCGGAUUUAUUGGGUUUAAAGGGUGCGUAGGUGGUCGAUUAAGUCAGUGGUGAAAGCCAACAGCUCAACUGUUGAACUGCCAUUGAUACUGGUUGACUUGAGUAUAGAUGAGGUAGGCGGAAUUUAUGGUGUAGCGGUGAAAUGCAUAGAUACCAUAAAGAACACCGAUAGCGAAGGCAGCUUACUAAACUAUAACUGACACUGAGGCACGAAAGCGUGGGGAGCGAACAGG
Molecule: ribosomal RNA, 253 nt
Filed under: Fulvivirga sp.
Lineage: Bacteria; Pseudomonadati; Bacteroidota; Cytophagia; Cytophagales; Fulvivirgaceae
Also listed under: 1 other name
Description: partial 16S ribosomal RNA
Rfam family: Bacterial small subunit ribosomal RNA
Source: RNAcentral